UUGCGCGCAGCCGCCUCGAUCGCCCGGAGUGCGACCAGCGUCUGAUUGUAGCCCAUGACGCUCGCGACGGACCAUGUCGCCUGCGACUUGUAUUUUGCGACGACCAUCUGGUGGAAGUCGUGGGCUUUGGUCUUUUGCUCAGUCGGCACGGCCAUGCCGUAGACUUCAUAGUCGCCUUCCAGGUCCUUCAUGCCGCCAACGGCCUUACCUGAGGCAAUCAGGCCGUUAUGCGAACUCAUCAUGAUCGGAAUAUCGGCCUUGCCGAGCGCCUGCAGCGCACGCUUGGUCGCCACAACCGCGGCCGUGUUGGUCUGGAUAUCGAUAACUUGCACGCCCUUGCGGAUCAGGCGGCCAACCUGGGUGGUCAGAUCGGUCGGCUGAACUUCGGUAAAAAUGGUCUCGACGAUUUCAGCCUUGUCCGGGUUGUCCUUGGCGAACUU
RNAcentral lists this unclassified non-coding RNA (440 nucleotides) under Hevea brasiliensis (rubber tree). Lineage: Eukaryota; Viridiplantae; Streptophyta; Magnoliopsida; Malpighiales; Euphorbiaceae. The record is from RNAcentral.